Molecule: long non-coding RNA, 902 nt
Organism: Bubalus bubalis (water buffalo)
Lineage: Eukaryota; Metazoa; Chordata; Mammalia; Artiodactyla; Bovidae
Exons: 5
Source: RefSeq, a predicted model, not a curated record
UCAUAGGGAGAUAAAAAAGCCAUCACUCAGCAUGGAAAGGAAGGCACCAAGGAUAGAGAGAUUGCCUCACCAGGAGUCUUUGGCCAUUUGCGGGGAGCUGGGGUGGAGAGGGAGGGCGCAGAAAGGGGAAGGGAGGUUGAUUCUGACCGGGAUGGAUGGAGUGGGGAGAAAAGGGGGAAGCAGUGGUCGAGGCAAUUUAGGAAAAAAGUGCGCACAUGUGCCAUUGGUUGGCCAGCAGCCUGCUGUUUAGAGUGUGGCUCUGCAGCUGCCCCCUCGCUCAGAAACUCCAGGUUUAGUAGGUCCAGAAUUGAGGCUGUGAAAGCCACAUUUUAAAAAACAAUUCCAAAGUGAUUGCCAUGAAGGUAUUCUAUGAACUGUACUCGAGGCGUUGAGAAACUCUGCCCAGUCAGCAGCUUUGGUGACCGUGAAGGAGCACAGAGAUGGCUUCUCUCCUUGGCCUGAACUCGGUGAGGAUCCGGAGCCUUGAAAGUACAUGCCCGUCCUCAGCCAGUCCAGACAAAUUGGGGUCUCCACUCAUGACUUUUAAGCUUCAACCUGCUGGUCUGCCUCUCACUGUCUCUGCACACGCCAAAGAAAGGCUACGGCCAAAGGCCCGAAUUUGCAGGCUUCGCUGGGACCAGACUGGUUAUCCAUUGCAGAUUCUUUACCAUUUGAACCACCAGAGAAGCCCAUGGAAUUGCUGGGUUGUAUGCCUAAGACGCUCAAGACUCAGCCAAAUGACCAGAAAAACCUCAUGAAACUAACAGAGCGUUUAGAGAAGUCGCCAUGUGGAUCUCAUGGGAACACAGCUGGUGAUGCAGCUGCCGCCACUCCUGCUUCUCAAACACCAGCUUCUGUUGUAACCAGGAGCUGCGAAACCUCACUGAAAGAGCCCUCCUCAA